GUGAACGCUGGCGGCAGGCCUCACACAUGCAAGUCGCACGGCAGCACAAGAGAGCUUGCUCUCUGGGUGGCGAGUGGCGGACGGGUGAGGAAUGCAUCGGAAUCUGCCCAUUUGUGGGGGAUAACCUCGGGAAACCGGGACUAAUACCGCAUACGACCUACGGGUGAAAGCAGGGGAUCUUCGGACCUUGCGCAGAUGGAUGAGCCGAUGCCGGAUUAGCUAGUUGGAGGGGUAAAGGCCCACCAAGGCGACGAUCCGUAGCUGGUCUGAGAGGAUGAUCAGCCACACUGGGACUGAGACACGGCCCAGACUCCUACGGGAGGCAGCAGUGGGGAAUAUUGGACAAUGGGCGCAAGCCUGAUCCAGCCAUGCCGCGUGUGUGAAGAAGGCCUUCGGGUUGUAAAGCACUUUUGUUGGGAAAGAAAAGCAGCCGGUUAAUACCCGGUUGUCAUGACGGUACCCAAAGAAUAAGCACCGGCUAACUUCGUG
RNAcentral lists this ribosomal RNA (489 nucleotides) under uncultured bacterium. Its description in RNAcentral is "partial 16S ribosomal RNA". It matches the Rfam family "Bacterial small subunit ribosomal RNA", at positions 29 to 507 of the family's 1533-position model. The record is from RNAcentral.